Molecule: ribosomal RNA, 253 nt
Filed under: uncultured bacterium
Lineage: Bacteria
Description: partial 16S ribosomal RNA
Rfam family: Bacterial small subunit ribosomal RNA
Source: RNAcentral
UACGUAGGGGGCAAGCGUUGUCCGGAUUUAUUGGGCGUAAAGCGCGUGUAGGCGGCUUGGUAGGUCAGCUGUGAAAACUCGAGGCUCAACCUCGAGAUGUCGGUUGAAACCACCUUGCUAGAGUCCGGAGGAGGAGAGUGGAAUUCCUGGUGUAGCGGUGAAAUGCGCAGAUAUCAGGAAGAACACCAAUGGCGAAGGCAGCUCUCUGGGACGGUACUGACGCUGAGACGCGAAAGCGUGGGGAGCGAACAGG